RNAcentral lists this ribosomal RNA (492 nucleotides) under uncultured bacterium. RNAcentral describes it as "bacterial SSU rRNA". It matches the Rfam family "Bacterial small subunit ribosomal RNA", at positions 28 to 507 of the family's 1533-position model. The record is from RNAcentral.
GAUGAACGCUAGCUACAGGCUUAACACAUGCAAGUCGAGGGGAAACGACAUCGAAAGCUUGCUUUUGAUGGGCGUCGACCGGCGCACGGGUGAGUAACGCGUAUCCAACCUGCCCACCACUUGGGGAUAACCUUGCGAAAGUAAGACUAAUACCCAAUGAUAUCCCACGAAGGCAUCGGAAUGGGAUUAAAGAUUUAUCGGUGAUGGAUGGGGAUGCGUCUGAUUAGCUUGUUGGCGGGGUAACGGCCCACCAAGGCGACGAUCAGUAGGGGUUCUGAGAGGAAGGUCCCCCACAUUGGAACUGAGACACGGUCCAAAACUCCUACGGGAGGCAGCAGUGAGGAAUAUUGGUCAAUGGGCGGAAGCCUGAACCAGCCAAGUAGCGUGCAGGACGACGGCCCUAUGGGUUGUAAACUGCUUUAUAAGGGAAUAAAGUGAGUCUCGUGAGGCUUUUUGCAUGUACCUUAUGACUAAGGACCGGCUAAUUCCGUG